This 445-nucleotide ribosomal RNA is filed under the name uncultured bacterium. Its description in RNAcentral is "bacterial SSU rRNA". It matches the Rfam family "Bacterial small subunit ribosomal RNA", at positions 330 to 792 of the family's 1533-position model. The record is from RNAcentral.
GCCAGACUCCUACGGGAGGCAGCAGUGGGGAAUAUUGCACAAUGGGGGAAACCCUGAUGCAGCAACGCCGCGUGAGUGAAGAAGUUAUUCGUGGUGUAAAGCUCUAUCAGCAGGGAAGAAAAUGACGGUACCUGAGUAAGAAGCCCCGGCUAACUACGUGCCAGCAGCCGCGGUAAUACGUAGGGGGCAAGCGUUAUCCGGAUUUACUGGGUGUAAAGGGAGCGUAGACGGCCAGACAAGUCUGAAGUGAAAAUCCAGCGCUUAACGUUGGAAGUGCUUUGGAAACUGCCGGGCUAGAGUGCAGGAGGGGCAGGCGGAAUUCCUAGUGUAGCGGUGAAAUGCGUAGAUAUUAGGAGGAACACCAGUGGCGAAGGCGGCCUGCUGGACUGCAACUGACGUUGAGGCUCGAAGGCGUGGGGAGCAAACAGGAUUAGAUACCCCUGUA